Molecule: small RNA, 120 nt
Filed under: Salmonella enterica
Lineage: Bacteria; Pseudomonadati; Pseudomonadota; Gammaproteobacteria; Enterobacterales; Enterobacteriaceae
Also listed under: 3 other names
Description: RtT sRNA
Rfam family: RtT RNA
About the family: This family represents a bacterial cis-regulatory element known as RtT RNA. The exact function of RtT is unknown although it is thought that it may be involved in changing the cellular response in relation to amino acid starvation.
Source: RNAcentral
UGUAUCUGAAGUCUGACGAGGAUGAGAACCUCCGGAGGGCAAGAGGUUCGACCCGAGCGAAGCGAGAAAAUGUUGCGUCAGCAACGGCCCGCAGGGCGAGUCAUCCUCUAUCACCGGCAG